GAGGGCAUAGCUCAGUGGCAGAGCAUAUGCCUAGCAUGCACAAGGUCCUGGGUUCAAUCCCCAGUACCUCCA
RNAcentral lists this transfer RNA (72 nucleotides) under Camelus ferus (Wild Bactrian camel). It matches the Rfam family "tRNA". Rfam says of the family: Transfer RNA (tRNA) molecules are approximately 80 nucleotides in length. Their secondary structure includes four short double-helical elements and three loops (D, anti-codon, and T loops). Lineage: Eukaryota; Metazoa; Chordata; Mammalia; Artiodactyla; Camelidae. The record is from Rfam by way of RNAcentral.